CGGGGGUAAACGGACAGAGCCCGUGAAUCUGGGCGGCGGAAUUCAGGACGGUCGGGCGGGCCUCGCGCUCGUCGGGCCGUUUGAUAUUUCCGUCGCCGUGUCAGACGUCGCGACCUGUUCGUCGCCGGUCCUUGCUCGGAGGAAGCGCGAUCGAGUUCGUUGCGGGCGCGUUUCGGCGCGUUCCGCGGCGAAGACGCGACUCUCUGGCUGGCGACGGACAGUAAGCAACGGUGUCCGGCGUCGUGUCUCGCACUCGACGUCGGUGCCGGUCGGCGACGAUUUCUUCGGGCCUCUUUCCGACCCGUCUUGAAACACGGACCAAGGAGUCUAACAUGCGCGCGAGUCGCGGGGUUUCGAGCGUGCCACGGUGCGCUCGUUACUUCCGAAACCCGUACGUUGAAGGCGUAAUGAAAGUGAAUAGGGAAGAUGGCGUUCCGAGUCCACGUACCGUGAUCGAGUAUCGCGGCCGGACGUCCGCACUCCCGGGGCGUCUCAAUGGCUCGCCACGGAUGCGGACGGUCGUC
This 524-nucleotide ribosomal RNA is filed under the name Aulacaspis tubercularis (white mango scale). RNAcentral's name for it is "eukaryotic LSU rRNA". The record is from RNAcentral. Lineage: Eukaryota; Metazoa; Arthropoda; Insecta; Hemiptera; Diaspididae.